GAUUGGGUGACCAGCACUGGACACUCAACAUCAACUGAAGACACAGAUUUGAGGUAUUGUCAUUUACUGAGGUAGCUUCAAAGUGGAAUGUUGCUUUUAAUAGAUCACAGUGCUGCAUCAAAGGAGGGCAGACAGGAAAAUUUACAUAUUUACAAUUCUUAGGAGCAUUUUCUUGGGAAACUCAAAUCCACGGGCUGAUCUUGACCGUCUGUCUCCUCAGUUCUGCUCCCUGACAAGGCCCCCACAGGUCGUGUGCACAGGAUGGCCCUUGGACACCACGCAGAGCCUGCCCGGGUGCCUGAGUCCCCUCCUGCCCCCUCUCCUGAAGCAGAGAUGUCCCCAGUGGUGAAUCAAUCUUCCCUCAACACCUACAACCUAGAACUCUAUGUCAUGAGUUCCUGAGAGUAAAUAUCUAAUGCAGAAAUGUCUUUUUUUAAUUGAGGGAGAGGGAGAAGCAGCCACAAAACAGAGUUGGGAUCCCUCCCUGCUAGCGAAUGUGCAGGUACAGCAGGGACUAUCUUUGGCACUCUUUGUGCUUUAGUGGGUAUACUGGCUCCUACACAGCUAUAGUUUUGAACCCAGCAACCAGGGAAGGAUGGGACAGAGCCCCAAGCAACGGACCCAAGUGGAUGAAGUGGAGGCAAAGGUCUACAGAAGGCUCAUGUCAGCUAUAAAUUCCAUCAAGUUACCAACCAGUUCAGUGAGU
Long non-coding RNA from Galeopterus variegatus (Sunda flying lemur), 706 nucleotides. RefSeq lists it as uncharacterized. NCBI's taxonomy places the organism in Eukaryota, Metazoa, Chordata, Mammalia, Dermoptera, Cynocephalidae. The record is from RefSeq and is a predicted model, not a curated record. The transcript has 2 exons.